UACGGGGGGGGCAAGCGUUGUUCGGAAUGACUGGGCGUAAAGGGCGCGUAGGCGGCCUUCUAAGUCAGACGUGAAAUCCCCCGGCUUAACCUGGGAACUGCGUCUGAUACUGGGAGGCUUGAGUAUGGGAGAGGGAUGUAGAAUUCCAGGUGUAGCGGUGAAAUGCGUAGAUAUCUGGAGGAAUACCGGUGGCGAAGGCGGCAUCCUGGACCAUAACUGACGCUGAGGCGCGAAAGCUAGGGGAGCAAACGGG
Molecule: ribosomal RNA, 253 nt
Filed under: uncultured bacterium
Lineage: Bacteria
Description: partial 16S ribosomal RNA
Rfam family: Bacterial small subunit ribosomal RNA
Source: RNAcentral